GUCAGGGAGGAAAUCCCUAAGGUUAAUACCCUUGGGGGAUGACAGUACCUGAAGAAUAAGCACCGGCUAAUUACGUGCCAGCAGCCGCGGUAAUACGUAGGGUGCAAGCGUUAAUCGGAAUUACUGGGCGUAAAGCGUGCGCAGGCGGUUGUGUAAGUCUGAUGUGAAAGCCCCGGGCUCAACCUGGGAACUGCAUUGGAGACUGCACGGCUAUUGUGCGUCAGAGGGGGGUAGAAUUCCGCGUGUAGCAGUGAAAUGCGUAGAGAUGCGGAUGAAUACCGAUGGCGAAGGCAGCCCCCCGGGAUGACACUGACGCUCAUGCACGAAAGCGUGGGGAGCAAACAGGAUUAGAUACCCUGGUAGUCCACGCCCUAAACGAUGUCAACUAGCUGUUGGGGGUUUGAAUCCUUGGUAGCGUAGCUAACGCGAGAAGUUGACCGCCUGGGGAGUACGGCCGCUUGGUUAAAACUCAAAGGAAUUGACGGGGACCCGCACAAGCGGUGGAUGAUGUGGAUUAAUUCGAUGCAACGCGAAAAACCUUACCUGGUCUUGACAUGU
Molecule: ribosomal RNA, 558 nt
Filed under: Aquitalea sp. Se1Pw_3557
Lineage: Bacteria; Pseudomonadati; Pseudomonadota; Betaproteobacteria; Neisseriales; Chromobacteriaceae
Description: bacterial SSU rRNA
Rfam family: Bacterial small subunit ribosomal RNA
Source: RNAcentral